GAUGAACGCUGGCGGCGUGCUUAACACAUGCAAGUCGAGCGAAGCGCUUUUGCGGAUUUCUUCGGAUUGAAGCAACUGUGACUGAGCGGCGGACGGGUGAGUAACGCGUGGGUAACCUGCCUCAUACAGGGGGAUAACAGUUGGAAACGGCUGCUAAUACCGCAUAAGCGCACAGUACCGCAUGGUACCGUGUGAAAAACUCCGGUGGUAUGAGAUGGACCCGCGUCUGAUUAGCUAGUUGGUGGGGUAACGGCCUACCAAGGCGACGAUCAGUAGCCGGCCUGAGAGGGUGACCGGCCACAUUGGGACUGAGACACGGCCCAAACUCCUACGGGAGGCAGCAGUGGGGAAUAUUGCACAAUGGGGGAAACCCUGAUGCAGCGACGCCGCGUGAGCGAUGAAGUAUUUCGGUAUGUAAAGCUCUAUCAGCAGGGAAGAAAAUGACGGUAC
Molecule: ribosomal RNA, 450 nt
Filed under: uncultured bacterium
Lineage: Bacteria
Description: bacterial SSU rRNA
Rfam family: Bacterial small subunit ribosomal RNA
Source: RNAcentral